AUUUGGGGGAAUCACUUUAGUCUUCUCUUUUUCAUCAAACCGCAAUUUUUGUAAGUUCCCCCAAUUUCAUCGCGUAAAAUUGCAAAAAUAUCCCGCAGAUUCCAUCGCAUUUUUAAGAAAACGUGCCGCAUAAUUACAGAUUUUUUGCACAAUCCCCAAAA
Molecule: long non-coding RNA, 161 nt
Organism: Etheostoma spectabile (orangethroat darter)
Lineage: Eukaryota; Metazoa; Chordata; Actinopteri; Perciformes; Percidae
Exons: 3
Source: RefSeq, a predicted model, not a curated record